AUGCAGAACAUCAAGGAAAUCUUGAAAAUUAUAUGUGCACUCUAUGUCUUUUUCUUAUGCUUACAAGUAUUCUGCACUCAUACUGUUAUGCAUAAGUUCAGGUCGCGUGUGGAGUUUCAGAUAUAUGCAAUUGAAUUAGAGCACCAUGUUCUCACCCAUGUAAUUUGCAGGGAAAACAUAAUAAGAUCUAAGAACAUAAAUAUAGAAGUUCAUAUUUUGAAACAAAUGAAGUAUUUGGGAACUAAAAUGAAGUAUUUCAAAGUACAGAACUUCUAUUUAGGUUCCUUUUGUGUACUUCUAAUGUUACUGUGCAUGAACUUCUCGUUAUUUUUACAUGUUUUACAUGAUUAUUAUGGUCAUUUCGACCUUGACAAAUUUCAUUUUCUUUUUUUCCAUUCAUCUUACAGGUCGAAGGAGCUCCCUUCAGUUCAAUGGAUUCAACAAAAUAAUCCAUGUUGCCUACUAGAACUUGCGUGUGUGCUGUGGCAUGUGUGCAGCUGCAUGCCUGGUGCCUGA
RNAcentral lists this ribosomal RNA (516 nucleotides) under Triticum aestivum (bread wheat). RNAcentral describes it as "partial small subunit ribosomal RNA". The record is from RNAcentral. Lineage: Eukaryota; Viridiplantae; Streptophyta; Magnoliopsida; Poales; Poaceae.